This 153-nucleotide microRNA precursor is filed under the name Pelobates cultripes (western spadefoot toad). The record is from RNAcentral. Lineage: Eukaryota; Metazoa; Chordata; Amphibia; Anura; Pelobatidae.
GCUGACACAUCCUGGCCAAUCUCCAGCAGACCCUCCCUCCCAGACCCUCCCACCUCCUGGACAGCAUCCAUGUUGCCUUCAACAUGGAUGCUGUCCAGGAGGUGGGAGGGUCUGGGAGGGAGGGUCUGCUGGAGAUUGGCCGGGAUGUGUCAG